RNAcentral lists this ribosomal RNA (2787 nucleotides) under human gut metagenome. RNAcentral describes it as "bacterial LSU rRNA". It matches the Rfam family "Bacterial large subunit ribosomal RNA". The record is from RNAcentral.
AGCGUACACGGUGGAUGCCCUGGCAGUCAGAGGCGAUGAAGGACGUGCUAAUCUGCGAUAAGCGUCGGUGAGGUGAUAUGAACCGUUAUAACCGGCGAUUUCCGAAUGGGGAAACCCAGUGUGUUUCGACACACUAUCAUUAACUGAAUCCAUAGGUUAAUGAGGCGAACCGGGGGAACUGAAACAUCUAAGUACCCCGAGGAAAAGAAAUCAACCGAGAUUCCCCCAGUAGCGGCGAGCGAACGGGGAGGAGCCCAGAGCCUGAAUCAGUGUGUGUGUUAGUGGAAGCGUCUGGAAAGGCGUGCGAUACAGGGUGACAGCCCCGUACACAAAAAUGCACAUAUUGUGAGCUCGAUGAGUAGGGCGGGACACGUGGUAUCCUGUCUGAAUAUGGGGGGACCAUCCUCCAAGGCUAAAUACUCCUGACUGACCGAUAGUGAACCAGUACCGUGAGGGAAAGGCGAAAAGAACCCCGGCGAGGGGAGUGAAAAAGAACCUGAAACCGUGUACGUACAAGCAGUGGGAGCCUCUUAAUGGGGUGACUGCGUACCUUUUGUAUAAUGGGUCAGCGACUUAUAUUCUGUAGCAAGGUUAACCGAAUAGGGGAGCCGAAGGGAAACCGAGUCUUAACUGGGCGUUAAGUUGCAGGGUAUAGACCCGAAACCCGGUGAUCUAGCCAUGGGCAGGUUGAAGGUUGGGUAACACUAACUGGAGGACCGAACCGACUAAUGUUGAAAAAUUAGCGGAUGACUUGUGGCUGGGGGUGAAAGGCCAAUCAAACCGGGAGAUAGCUGGUUCUCCCCGAAAGCUAUUUAGGUAGCGCCUCGUGAAUUCAUCUCCGGGGGUAGAGCACUGUUUCGGCAAGGGGGUCAUCCCGACUUACCAACCCGAUGCAAACUGCGAAUACCGGAGAAUGUUAUCACGGGAGACACACGGCGGGUGCUAACGUCCGUCGUGAAGAGGGAAACAACCCAGACCGCCAGCUAAGGUCCCAAAGUCAUGGUUAAGUGGGAAACGAUGUGGGAAGGCCCAGACAGCCAGGAUGUUGGCUUAGAAGCAGCCAUCAUUUAAAGAAAGCGUAAUAGCUCACUGGUCGAGUCGGCCUGCGCGGAAGAUGUAACGGGGCUAAACCAUGCACCGAAGCUGCGGCAGCGACACUAUGUGUUGUUGGGUAGGGGAGCGUUCUGUAAGCCUGUGAAGGUGGCCUGUGAGGGUUGCUGGAGGUAUCAGAAGUGCGAAUGCUGACAUAAGUAACGAUAAAGCGGGUGAAAAGCCCGCUCGCCGGAAGACCAAGGGUUCCUGUCCAACGUUAAUCGGGGCAGGGUGAGUCGACCCCUAAGGCGAGGCCGAAAGGCGUAGUCGAUGGGAAACAGGUUAAUAUUCCUGUACUUGGUGUUACUGCGAAGGGGGGACGGAGAAGGCUAUGUUGGCCGGGCGACGGUUGUCCCGGUUUAAGCGUGUAGGCUGGUUUUCCAGGCAAAUCCGGAAAACCAAGGCUGAGGCGUGAUGACGAGGCACUACGGUGCUGAAGCGACAAAUGCCCUGCUUCCAGGAAAAGCCUCUAAGCAUCAGGUAACAUCAAAUCGUACCCCAAACCGACACAGGUGGUCAGGUAGAGAAUACCAAGGCGCUUGAGAGAACUCGGGUGAAGGAACUAGGCAAAAUGGUGCCGUAACUUCGGGAGAAGGCACGCUGAUAUGUAGGUGAAGCGACUUGCUCGUGGAGCUGAAAUCAGUCGAAGAUACCAGCUGGCUGCAACUGUUUAUUAAAAACACAGCACUGUGCAAACACGAAAGUGGACGUAUACGGUGUGACGCCUGCCCGGUGCCGGAAGGUUAAUUGAUGGGGUUAGCGGUAACGCGAAGCUCUUGAUCGAAGCCCCGGUAAACGGCGGCCGUAACUAUAACGGUCCUAAGGUAGCGAAAUUCCUUGUCGGGUAAGUUCCGACCUGCACGAAUGGCGUAAUGAUGGCCAGGCUGUCUCCACCCGAGACUCAGUGAAAUUGAACUCGCUGUGAAGAUGCAGUGUACCCGCGGCAAGACGGAAAGACCCCGUGAACCUUUACUAUAGCUUGACACUGAACAUUGAGCCUUGAUGUGUAGGAUAGGUGGGAGGCUUUGAAGUGUGGACGCCAGUCUGCAUGGAGCCGACUUUGAAAUACCACCCUUUAAUGUUUGAUGUUCUAACGUUGGCCCGUAAUCCGGGUUGCGGACAGUGUCUGGUGGGUAGUUUGACUGGGGCGGUCUCCUCCUAAAGAGUAACGGAGGAGCACGAAGGUUGGCUAAUCCUGGUCGGACAUCAGGAGGUUAGUGCAAUGGCAUAAGCCAGCUUGACUGCGAGCGUGACGGCGCGAGCAGGUGCGAAAGCAGGUCAUAGUGAUCCGGUGGUUCUGAAUGGAAGGGCCAUCGCUCAACGGAUAAAAGGUACUCCGGGGAUAACAGGCUGAUACCGCCCAAGAGUUCAUAUCGACGGCGGUGUUUGGCACCUCGAUGUCGGCUCAUCACAUCCUGGGGCUGAAGUAGGUCCCAAGGGUAUGGCUGUUCGCCAUUUAAAGUGGUACGCGAGCUGGGUUUAGAACGUCGUGAGACAGUUCGGUCCCUAUCUGCCGUGGGCGCUGGAGAACUGAGGGGGGCUGCUCCUAGUACGAGAGGACCGGAGUGGACGCAUCACUGGUGUUCGGGUUGUCAUGCCAAUGGCACUGCCCGGUAGCUAAAUGCGGAAGAGAUAAGUGCUGAAAGCAUCUAAGCACGAAACUUGCCCCGAGAUGAGUUCUCCCUGACUCCUUGA